AACUUUUAGUUAUUAUUAAAAGCUGAUUCUGCUCAAUGGUAUCUAAAUAGCCGCAGUACCCUGACUGUGCAAAGGUAGCAUAAUCAGUUGGCCUAUAAUUGAGGUCUAGUAUGAAUGAAUGUACGGGGAACACCUGUCUUUUUCAAAUUUUUAGGAAUUUAGUGAACAAGUGCAAAAACUUGUAUUUUUAAAAAAGACGAGAAGACCCUUGAAACUUUUAAGAUAAUUUUGUUGGGGCGACAGUAGUGCAAUUAACCACUAUUUAUAUACAUGAAAUAUAUUAGUAAGAUAAAGUUACUCUAGGGAUAACAGCAUAAUUAAUUAUAGUUUGUGACCUCGAUGUUGGACUAGGUAUGAUAUUCUUUAGAAGAAACUAUCACUUGCUCUGUUCGAGCAGUUACACCUACAU
Molecule: ribosomal RNA, 409 nt
Filed under: Cattania inflata
Lineage: Eukaryota; Metazoa; Mollusca; Gastropoda; Stylommatophora; Helicidae
Description: partial 16S ribosomal RNA
Rfam family: Archaeal large subunit ribosomal RNA
Source: RNAcentral